CAACACAAUAUUCUCAGUCUUCUCCAUCUGUCUUUUACAUCCUUUAUAAGGCAUCCUAUGAGCAUUCUAGAGAGAGAAACUCCCACAACAACAGAUGUGACACCCACAAAAGUUCUUUAAGUAUCUAUAUAACCUGUAUCUAUCAUUAUCUUUCCAUCCAUUGAGUGACUAAGAGGUUGGAGAUAGCUGCCCUGAAGAAAAAGUUGAAGCUGGUGGUGGAAGUUGCAAAGCUGGCAGUGGCCUCUAAGGUCAUGAUACUUUUGAGAUACUGAUUCUUUUGGUGACUUCAAUGACAGCAUGCAUCAUAUAAGAGGAGCAAUCCAGUUGUUCCAUUUGUUGAAGAAGUCUGAGUUUUGAUAAGAUCUGUGCUGAAGUAACUCAAUUUUACCAAGCCAAAUGCUUCAUACAAGUCUCAAUCUAGAAGAACACCAUGCUCUCUUCUCCACUUGCAGAAUUGAAUCAAGUUGUCUGCAGUCACGAAACAUUCACCAGUUUCUGUAAGAAAAUCUCAGUAUUAACAAAAGUCAUUUGUAUGGUAAUUGUUUCACUUGUUGUAGAAGAAGCAGGGAUUGAGAUAAAGAUCUGUGAUGAAGCAAUCCAUUUUACCAAUUCAAAUGCUUUAUAUAUGUCUAAAUUUAGAAGAACAACAUGCUCCCUUCUGCAUUUGCAGAACUGAAUCAGGUUGGCCUUAGUCAUGAAACAUUCACCAAUUCCUGUAAGAAAAUCUCAAUAGUAACAUCAGCUAUUUGUAUGGUAAUUGUUUCACUUGUUGCAGAAGAAUUCUGGGAUUGUGAUAAGAUCUGUGAUGAAGAAACCCAUUUUACCAAUUCAAAUGCUUUAUAUAAUUCUAAAUUUAGAAGAACACCAUGCUCCCUUCUCCAUUUGCAGAACUGAAUCAGGUUGUCUGUAGUCAUGAAACAUUCACCAAUUCCUGUGAGAAAACUUCAACAGUAACACCAGUCAUUUGUAUGGUCAAGUAAGGAUUUGGAUUUCUUCGAACUUCUUCAUGUAUGAGAUAGUAAUUGGUUAGACUACCACUGUAAAAGAAGGGAAAGACUAAACGCUAUAUGAACAAUGAUGGAAAGAAGAGAUAACUUGUUAUACUAUAACCAGUUAUAUCUCUCUUUCUGUAU
Molecule: long non-coding RNA, 1133 nt
Filed under: Musa acuminata (dwarf banana)
Lineage: Eukaryota; Viridiplantae; Streptophyta; Magnoliopsida; Zingiberales; Musaceae
Description: long non-coding RNA (MACU_LNC001479)
Source: RNAcentral